RNAcentral lists this ribosomal RNA (229 nucleotides) under uncultured Actinomycetales bacterium. RNAcentral describes it as "partial 16S ribosomal RNA". It matches the Rfam family "Bacterial small subunit ribosomal RNA", at positions 104 to 334 of the family's 1533-position model. The record is from RNAcentral. Lineage: Bacteria; Bacillati; Actinomycetota; Actinomycetes; Actinomycetales.
GGGUGGGUAACGCGUGAGUAACCUGCCCUUGACUUUGGGAUAACUUCAGGAAACUGGGGCUAAUACCGGAUAGGAGCUCCUGCUGCAUGGUGGGGGUUGGAAAGUUUCGGCGGUUGGGGAUGGACUCGCGGCUUAUCAGCUUGUUGGUGGGGUAGUGGCUUACCAAGGCUUUGACGGGUAGCCGGCCUGAGAGGGUGACCGGCCACAUUGGGACUGAGAUACGGCCCAG